This 22-nucleotide non-coding RNA is filed under the name Arabidopsis thaliana (thale cress). The record is from RNAcentral. Lineage: Eukaryota; Viridiplantae; Streptophyta; Magnoliopsida; Brassicales; Brassicaceae.
GAGCUAGAGAAGAUGGGAUCUA